UACGUAGGGGGCUAGCGUUGUCCGGAAUCAUUGGGCGUAAAGCGCGCGUAGGCGGCCCGGUAAGUCCGCUCUGAAAGUCCAGGGCUCAACCCUGGAAAGCGGGUGGAUACUGCCGGGCUAGAAUCCGGAAGAGGCGAGUGGAAUUCCUGGUAUAGCGGCGGAAUGCGCAGAUAUCAGGAGGAACACCAAUAGCGAAGGCAGCUCGCUGGGACGGUACUGACGCUAAGGCGCGAAAGCGUGGGGAGCGAACAGG
Molecule: ribosomal RNA, 253 nt
Filed under: uncultured bacterium
Lineage: Bacteria
Description: partial 16S ribosomal RNA
Rfam family: Bacterial small subunit ribosomal RNA
Source: RNAcentral